UAGGGAAUAUUGCUUAAUGGGCGAAAGCCUGAAGCAGCAACGCCGCGUGUGUGAAGAAGGCCUUCGGGUUGUAAAACACUUUUUGAGGGGAUGAGGAGGGACAGUACCCUCAGAAUAAGCCUCGGCUAACUACGUGCCAGCAGCCGCGGUAAAACGUAGGAGGCGAGCGUUAUCCGGAUUUACUGGGCGUAAAGCGCGCGCAGGCGGCACGGCAAGUUGGAUGUGAAAGCUCCCGGCUUAACUGGGAGAGGUCGUUCAAAACUGCCGAGCUAGAGUGCGGGAGAGGGAGGUGGAAUUCCGGGUGUAGUGGUGAAAUGCAUAGAUAUCCGGAGGAACACCAGUGGCGAAAGCGGCCUCCUGGUCCGCAACUGACGCUCAGACGCGAAAGCUAGGGUAGCAAACGG
Molecule: ribosomal RNA, 404 nt
Filed under: uncultured bacterium
Lineage: Bacteria
Description: bacterial SSU rRNA
Rfam family: Bacterial small subunit ribosomal RNA
Source: RNAcentral